Molecule: long non-coding RNA, 2048 nt
Organism: Cydia fagiglandana
Lineage: Eukaryota; Metazoa; Arthropoda; Insecta; Lepidoptera; Tortricidae
Exons: 2
Source: RefSeq, a predicted model, not a curated record
ACAAAAGAUAAGCACUCCCGUGUAAAUAAAAGAGACACGGCGAUAGUUACUCGCCCAGCGGUGAGCUAUAAAUAUCGCCGUGUCUAUUUUAUUUACACGGGAGUGCUUAUCUUUUGUUCGUGUUUAUAGCCGAUAGCUCAUAGCUUACUAGCUCGCGGUGGGACCAGUGCCUAAUGUAUUAAAAAUGUAUGUUAAUAAUUGUAAAUAAAAGGACAAGUAUGUACAGAACGUAGCAGAAGUAGUGUUGGACUAACACAACUCUGCAACGAUUUUGAUACAUUAGAUGUAUUUAUUUCUUAAACAGUGGCCGAUUUGCCCUAAGGCCCAAAAGGCCCGGGCGGCAAGAUAUUUAAGGGCGGCAAAUUGUGACAAAAAAUUCGCUGAUGGUAACAAGAAAUAACUCAAAAUGUAGUCAAUAUGAUGGGUGCUAAGGGGCGGCUACAGGGCCUGGGGUCUAGGGCGGCAAAAACUGCAAAUCCGCCACUGUUCUUAAAAAAAGACAGUAUUUUACACAAAAGCAUAAAACAAAGGCUUUCACAAAAAUAUCGUCAACUUAACAUUAAAAACAGAAAAGAAAAAAUAUAAAAGAAUUUAAAAUAAAUAAAUAAAAUAGCGCUCACGGUGCAUGUUAUUUAUAGGUCACCAUUUCAUAGAGAAUUGACGUUUAAAAUAACACUUGCACUGCGUUGUGCUAUCAAAAUCGUUGCAGACUUGUCUAGGCCCAACUCUAGCUAAGCGAGUGGUGUUCAAAAUGACCUGUGCACGCUCUUAUUCUCUUAGCGAUAAAGCUGAGUUCAGGUCAUUGAGAAAAACUUGUAGGUGUGAAAUCAAAUACAGAUGUAGGUGCAUAAUUGUUUUCCAUCGUAUUUUCACGGAAACGUACGAACGGUUGACGUAAAAGGACAAGUAUGUACAGAAGGUAGCAGAAGUAGAUUUGGACCAAGACAAGUCUGCAGCGAUUUUGAUAAAUCGCUGGCCCAAUAUUACAGCAGGCUUCUUUGUAUGUUACAUUUUCAAGAUAGUUGAAAUUCGACUUAGGCGCACUUGCACCAUUCCACUAACCCGGGGUUAACCGAUUAAACCUGGAGUUGCCAUGGUUACCAGUACAAUUUGACACUAGGUUAACGGUUUAACCGCUUAACCCCGGGUUAGUGGGAUGGUGCAAGUGAGCCUUAAUGUCACUAUGACAAUGUUCAGUUCGAUAAAAGUGAAACAUAGAACCUUACAGGCUAUUGGGCCAGCGAAAUGAUAGCGCUCGUAGUGCAAGUGUUAUUUAUACGUCACAAUUUCGUAGAAGUUUGACGUUUACAAUAACACUUGCACUGCGUUGUGCUAUCAAAAUCGUUGCAGACUUGUCUAGGCCCAACUCUAGCUAAGCGAGUGGUGUUCAAAAUGACCUGUGCACGCUCUUAUUCUCUUAGCGAUAAAGCUGAGUUCAGGUCAUUGAGAAAAACUUGUAGGUGUGAAAUCAAAUGUGACUUGUAGUGCAUAAUGGUUUUCCUUCGUAUUUUCACGGAAACGUACGAACGUGUCUUGCUAUUUCAGCCAGUCCCGGUACCAAAAGUACUGGGGGCCAAUUUUUGAAUUUCGACCGCUCGAUUUCGUGUAUUUCGUUCAAUAAUAUCUCCACUAAUAGGCCUUUAAAUUCUACUAAUAGAAUUGAAAAAGAGUGGUCAAUACCACUCGAUUCCAAAUUUCUAUCGCUCGUAUUUCAAAAGUUAGUAGAUCACCGUUUUCCACCGAUUUUCGUGUGACGAAAUCGAGCGAUCGAAAUUCAAAAAUCGGCUCCCUGUGGUUGACUGAAGUAGCAUGACAAAUACGAAUGUUUCCGAGAAAAUACGAUGGAAAACAACUAUGCAUACGCCUACGUCUGUAUGCCUGUAUAUAAAACCAUUAUUUGUGGAUCAUAAACUAGAUGUAAAAAGCAUUAUAAUGACAUGUGUAAUUGUGUAUAACUUGUUGUAUGUAACCCAGUGACGAAGUAUUGUUGUAUAAUGUGGAAUUUUAACGACAUGGUUAUAUUUAUGUGAAUUAUAUUUUGAGCAUUC